GCGUAAAGCGCACGCAGGCGGUCUGUCAAGUCGGAUGUGAAAUCCCCGGGCUCAACCUGGGAACUGCAUUCGAAACUGGCAGGCUUGAGUCUUGUAGAGGGGGGUAGAAUUCCAGGUGUAGCGGUGAAAUGCGUAGAGAUCUGGAGGAAUACCGGUGGCGAAGGCGGCCCCCUGGACAAAGACUGACGCUCAGGUGCGAAAGCGUGGGGAGCAAACAGGAUUAGAUACCCUGGUAGUCCACGCCGUAAACGAUGUCUACUUGGAGGUUGUGCCCUUGAGGCGUGGCUUCCGGAGCUAACGCGUUAAGUAGACCGCCUGGGGAGUACGGCCGCAAGGUUAAAACUCAAAUGAAUUGACGGGGGCCCGCACAAGCGGUGGAGCAUGUGGUUUAAUUCGAUGCAACGCGAAGAACCUUACCUGGUCUUGACAUCCACAGAACUUUCCAGAGAUGGACUGGUGCCUUCGGGAACUGUGAGACAGGUGCUGCAUGGCUGUCGUCAGCUCGUGUUGUGAAAUGUUGGGUUAAGUCCCGCAACGAGCGCAACCCUUAUCCUUUGUUGCCAGCGGUUAGG
Molecule: ribosomal RNA, 572 nt
Filed under: Salmonella enterica
Lineage: Bacteria; Pseudomonadati; Pseudomonadota; Gammaproteobacteria; Enterobacterales; Enterobacteriaceae
Description: bacterial SSU rRNA
Rfam family: Bacterial small subunit ribosomal RNA
Source: RNAcentral